RNAcentral lists this ribosomal RNA (253 nucleotides) under uncultured bacterium. Its description in RNAcentral is "partial 16S ribosomal RNA". It matches the Rfam family "Bacterial small subunit ribosomal RNA", at positions 524 to 776 of the family's 1533-position model. The record is from RNAcentral.
UACGUAGGGCGCAAGCGUUGUCCGGAAUUAUUGGGCGUAAAGAGCUCGUAGGCGGUUUGUCGCGUCUGCCGUGAAAGUCCGGGGCUUAACUCCGGAUCUGCGGUGGGUACGGGCAGACUAGAGUGCAGUAGGGGAGACUGGAAUUCCUGGUGUAGCGGUGAAAUGCGCAGAUAUCAGGAGGAACACCGAUGGCGAAGGCAGGUCUCUGGGCUGUAACUGACGCUGAGGAGCGAAAGCAUGGGGAGCGAACAGG